RNAcentral lists this long non-coding RNA (274 nucleotides) under Homo sapiens (human). Its description in RNAcentral is "non-protein coding lnc-PTN-9:1". Lineage: Eukaryota; Metazoa; Chordata; Mammalia; Primates; Hominidae. The record is from RNAcentral.
GGAGGGAUCACUGCAGUCACGGUCAAUCAACCAGAGCCUGCUGAGCCCCCUUAUCCUAGAGGUGAACCCCAACAUCCAGGCCGUGCGCAUCCAGGGGAAGGAGCAGAUCAAGACCCUCAACAAGAAGUUUGCCUCCUUCAUAGACAAGGUACGGUUCCUGGAGCAGCAGAACAAGAUGCUGGAGACCAAGUGGAGCCUCCUGCAGCAGCAGACGACGACUCGGAGCAACAUGGACAACAUGUUCGAGAGCUACAUCAACAACCUUAGGCGGCAG